Bos taurus (domestic cattle) is the source of this 1830-nucleotide long non-coding RNA. NCBI's taxonomy places the organism in Eukaryota, Metazoa, Chordata, Mammalia, Artiodactyla, Bovidae. The record is from Ensembl.
AGUGUAUGUUGUUGCCUAGAUUCAUCAUUGAAGGAGAUUCUUCAUUUCAGUUAGAGGUUAGUGAGAAUAAACGGUCUAAUUUUUUUUUCCUAUCCAAGGUCACAAACCCCAUGAAUUUGACCCACAGACCAUCAAGGGGUCCAAGGGCCCUGGAUUAAGAGGCCCAAUCAAGGGCUUGGGAGAUAAUAUCACCCUUCACAGCUGUGUAAGGGCUGCUGCUCUCAAUAUUAUUAUCAACUAUAAUAGCUAAUAUUCAGUGCUUGCUCUGUGGUAGGCAUAAGAAAGGUGAAAGUGUCACACAAAUCUGAACCAUUAUUUUUAUAUUAUAUUAAUGAAUUUAAUGGUUGAUUCAGAAGGAAAUGGCAACCCACUCCAGUAUUCUUGCCUGGAGAAUCCCCUGGAUGGAGGAGCCUGGUAGGCUACAGUCCAUGGGGUCACAAAGAGUGGGACACAAAUGAGCGACUUCACCUUCAUUUUAAGAAAACAAUUGGUACUGCUUUUGGUGAGUUUGGCAUGGCCAGGCUCAUGCCAUGUGCUUCCAGUGGAUUCUUCACUUAGGCCUCCCUACAACCUCGUGAGGUGAGUCUGCUCUUCUUCCCAUUUACGGACAAGGUGAGUAUGUCUCGGUUUAAUCAACUUACUCAAAUCAUGGUGCCAGUAAUUAGUAGAACAAGGAGUUCAAACCCAGAUCUCUUUGACUUAGGACAAAGCACAGAUCCCCCAAAUCGGCAGAAUGACACUCUGCAAACAGAGAGGGCUGCAAGGUGCCACCAGGUGACGUGCCCACAACGUCCACUUGUGCUGGGCAGAAAGACGGACCACUGAGGGGAAAGAGAGACAACUCGGCGCCAAGUCCUGCAUGGAUUAACAAGCCAGUGAUUGCCGAGGCUGUGAGGCAGUUCCUGUGAUAAUCAUUAGCAUCUAGAUUCCAGAACCACGGGGAUCACCGAAGACAGCUGCCUGGCGAAGGGCCUCCCUGGUUUCCCUGAGAAUGCCCUUGCUCUGCACCCGGAGAAACCCACAGGUGCCCCACGGAGCAGCAGCACCCUCUGCACCGGGCCCUGUGGGCACCGCUUUCUCCCAAGGGAAAAAUCUCGCAGUUCCUAUGUGGUGGGAACUCCGCGUCUACAGAGCAGCUUCUGGCAGGAAAGCCCAUGGCAGAGUCCAGCAAGGGGCUACCAAGCCCUGGAGCGCUGCCUCCUGCUUGGCGGGGCUCAGAGGGGGGAUGGAGACCUUCUCAGGCACCAGCAAAUCCGCAGUGUCGGUAGCGGCCGCCGUUCUUCUCACCCGGAGGGAGCCCGGCCGGGUCCACUGGGCUCCCUGCCCAAGCCCUGUGGGCAGUCAGGUGGGAGAGUCUGGGCAGACUGGAGGGCGGGCCCGUGGUGGGCUCAGCUCACCCAAACCACGUUAGCAUCACCUGUCACUUGACAUAAACAGCCGCCCUCCCUACUUCUACCCAUGGGAAAGGCAAAUUUUCAGAAACCUCAUGUCAGCCUCUCCCAGCACUUUCAAAUAUUUUGUGUGGAGCAUGUCACAGUAUGUAAUAACCUCACACAGGCCUCCUCACUGGAUUCAUCUUGGCUAAGAGAUGCACACACACACGGGAGGAUCUGGAGAUGAACCAAAUAUGGACUCAGAACCAGGCAAAGCAAGGUGACUGGCCAAAGGAAACCCAGAAUAAACGCCCCGUAUGUGAUUCAAAUUACCGCAGGAGCACGACUCUCCCUCUGAGCCCGCCCGUGUGUCUAUUCGCAUGUCCCCUUUUCUGUUCCUAAUACAUUGCUUGUUUCACUCCUUUCCAUCUCUCCAUCGAAAUUCAUUUCUACACAG